AUGAAACCAUGUAACAUUCAUAAUGCUACAUUAUCUUGCCUGAGUCCUACUUCUGCAAAGUUAUCCUUUUACACCUUCCUAGUCAAUUCACUCCCAUUCAUGACAGUAACGAUCCUAAACCUUUCUAUCCUUUCUCAAGGGAGAGAAAGAGAAAGAAAGAAAGAAAGAAAGAAAGAAAGAAAGAAAGAAAGAAAGAAAGAAAGAAAGAAAGAAAGAAAGAAAGAAAGAAAGAAAGAAAGAAAGAAAGAAAGAAAGAAAGAAAGAAAGAAAGAAAGAAAGGAAGGAAGGAAGGAAGGAAGGAAGGAAGGAAGGAAGGAAGGAAGGAAGGGAGAGAGAGAGAGAGAGAGAGAGAGAGAGAGAGAGAGAGAGAGAGAGAGAGAGAGAGAGAGAGAGAGAGAGAGAGAGAGAGAGAGAGAGAGAGAGAGAGAGAGAGAGAGAGAGAGAGAGAGAGAGAGAGAAGAAGAAGAAGAAGAGGAAGAAGAAGAAGAAGAAGAGAUUGGAGGGGGAGGAAGAGGAAGAGGAGGAAGAGGAGGAGGAGCCCAGAGG
Molecule: long non-coding RNA, 546 nt
Filed under: Monodelphis domestica (gray short-tailed opossum)
Lineage: Eukaryota; Metazoa; Chordata; Mammalia; Didelphimorphia; Didelphidae
Description: lncRNA (ENSMODG00000040712.1)
Source: RNAcentral